RNAcentral lists this signal recognition particle RNA (291 nucleotides) under Callithrix jacchus (white-tufted-ear marmoset). RNAcentral's name for it is "Metazoan signal recognition particle RNA (ENSCJAG00000055552.2)". It matches the Rfam family "Metazoan signal recognition particle RNA". Rfam says of the family: The signal recognition particle (SRP) is a universally conserved ribonucleoprotein. It is involved in the co-translational targeting of proteins to membranes. Lineage: Eukaryota; Metazoa; Chordata; Mammalia; Primates; Cebidae. The record is from Rfam by way of RNAcentral.
GCAGGAUGCAGUGGCACAUACCUGUAGUCCCAACUACUCAGGAAGCUGAGGCAGGAGGUUUGCUAGAGCCCAGGAGUCCUGGGCUGUGCCAGUCAGGUGUCCACAUUAAGUUUGGCAUCAGUAUGAUCUCCCCGGAGAGGGGGAUACCACUAACUUGAUUAAGUGGGAGUGUGAACUGGCCCAGGUUGUCAGCAGGGCAAGUCAAAACUCCCAUGCUGAUCAGUAGGAGGAUCGUGCCUAUGAAUAGCCGCUGUGCUCCAGCCUGGGCAAUAGGUCAGGACUCCCACCUCU